GUUAUUUUGGUAUAGUAGCUCUAGACUCUAUUAUAGUUUCCUGAGUUGCUGUACCAAAAUACCACAAACGGGCUG
Gorilla gorilla gorilla (western lowland gorilla) is the source of this 75-nucleotide microRNA precursor. The record is from Ensembl. Lineage: Eukaryota; Metazoa; Chordata; Mammalia; Primates; Hominidae.